RNAcentral lists this transfer RNA (77 nucleotides) under Candidatus Gracilibacteria bacterium GN02-873. RNAcentral describes it as "tRNA-Pro". It matches the Rfam family "tRNA". Rfam says of the family: Transfer RNA (tRNA) molecules are approximately 80 nucleotides in length. Their secondary structure includes four short double-helical elements and three loops (D, anti-codon, and T loops). The record is from RNAcentral. Lineage: Bacteria; Candidatus Altimarinota. RNAcentral also lists the same sequence under 2 other names.
CGGAGACUGGCGCAAUUGGCUAGCGCACAUGCUUUGGGAGCAUGGGGUUGUGAGUUCGAGUCUCGCGUCUCCGACCA